GAUGAACGCUGGCGGCGUGCCUAAUACAUGCAAGUCGAGCGAACGGACGAGAAGCUUGCUUCUCUGAUGUUAGCGGAGGACGGGUGAGUAACACGUGGAUAACCUACCUAUAAUACUGGGAUAACUUCGGGAAACCGGAGCUAAUACCGGAUGAUAUUUUGAACCGCAUGGUUCAAAAGUGAAAGACGGUCUUGCUGUCACUUAUCGAUGGAUCCGCGCUGCAUUAGCUAGUUGGUAAGGUAACGGCCUACCAAGGCAACGAUGCCUAGCCGACCUGAGAGGGUGAUCGGCCACACUGGAACUUGGACACGGUCCAGACGCCUACGGGAGGCAGCAGUAGGGAACCUUCCGCAAAGGGCGAAAGCCUGACGGAGCAACGCCGCGUGAGUGAUGAAGGUCUUCGGAUCGUAAAACUCUGUUAUUAGGGAAGAACAUAUGUGUAAGUAACUGUGCACAGCUUGACGGUACCUAAUCAGAAAGCCACGGCUAACUACGUG
RNAcentral lists this ribosomal RNA (497 nucleotides) under uncultured bacterium. RNAcentral describes it as "partial 16S ribosomal RNA". It matches the Rfam family "Bacterial small subunit ribosomal RNA", at positions 28 to 507 of the family's 1533-position model. The record is from RNAcentral.